Molecule: ribosomal RNA, 253 nt
Filed under: uncultured bacterium
Lineage: Bacteria
Description: partial 16S ribosomal RNA
Rfam family: Bacterial small subunit ribosomal RNA
Source: RNAcentral
UACAGAGGGGGCAAGCGUUAUUCGGAAUUAUUGGGCGUAAAGAGCGUGUAGGCGGCCAAACAGGUCCGUUGUGAAAACUGGAGGCUCAACCUCCAGACGUCGACGGAAACCGUGUGGCUAGAGUCCGGAAGAGGAGAGUGGAAUUCCUGGUGUAGCGGUGAAAUGCGCAGAUAUCAGGAAGAACACCAAUGGCGAAGGCAGCUCUCUGGGCCGAUACUGACGCUGAGGAGCGAAAGCGUGGGGAGCGAACAGG